UGGGAAAUUUCAUCGUGAUGGGGAUAGAUCAUUGCAAUUGUUGGUCUUCAACGAGGAAUGCCUAGUAAGCGCGAGUCAUCAGCUCGCGUUGACUACGUCCCUGCCCUUUGUACACACCGCCCGUCGCUCCUACCGAUUGAAUGGUCCGGUGAAGUGUUCGGAUCGCGGCGACGGGGGCGGUUCGCCGCCCCCGACGUCGCGAGAAGUCCAUUGAACCUUAUCAUUUAGAGGAAGGAGAAGUCGUAACAAGGUUUCCGUAGGUGAACCUGCGGAAGGAUCAUU
Molecule: ribosomal RNA, 282 nt
Filed under: Sesleria tenerrima
Lineage: Eukaryota; Viridiplantae; Streptophyta; Magnoliopsida; Poales; Poaceae
Description: partial 18S ribosomal RNA
Rfam family: Eukaryotic small subunit ribosomal RNA
Source: RNAcentral